Molecule: ribosomal RNA, 669 nt
Filed under: uncultured bacterium
Lineage: Bacteria
Description: bacterial SSU rRNA
Rfam family: Bacterial small subunit ribosomal RNA
Source: RNAcentral
GAGUUUGAUCCUGGCUCAGAUUGAACGCUGGCGGCAGGCCUAACACAUGCAAGUCGAACGGUAACAGGAAGAAGCUUGCUUCUUUGCUGACGAGUGGCGGACGGGUGAGUAAUGUCUGGGAAACUGCCUGAUGGAGGGGGAUAACUACUGGAAACGGUAGCUAAUACCGCAUAACGUCGCAAGACCAAAGAGGGGGACCUUCGGGCCUCUUGCCAUCGGAUGUGCCCAGAUGGGAUUAGCUAGUAGGUGGGGUAACGGCUCACCUAGGCGACGAUCCCUAGCUGGUCUGAGAGGAUGACCAGCCACACUGGAACUGAGACACGGUCCAGACUCCUACGGGAGGCAGCAGUGGGGAAUAUUGCACAAUGGGCGCAAGCCUGAUGCAGCCAUGCCGCGUGUAUGAAGAAGGCCUUCGGGUUGUAAAGUACUUUCAGCGGGGAGGAAGGGAGUAAAGUUAAUACCUUUGCUCAUUGACGUUACCCGCAGAAGAAGCACCGGCUAACUCCGUGCCAGCAGCCGCGGUAAUACGGAGGGUGCAAGCGUUAAUCGGAAUUACUGGGCGUAAAGCGCACGCAGGCGGUUUGUUAAGUCAGAUGUGAAAUCCCCGGGCUCAACCUGGGAACUGCAUCUGAUACUGGCAAGCUUGAGUCUCGUAGAGGGGGGUAGAAU